ACUUUCUAGGUUGAAAUAUAGAGAAAAAAGUUGGUGGUGGCACUGGCCUAUUGUGGAUCAGUAGGGUCUAGGAUUAAUUUCUUGAAGUAUUACCCCCACGGCCCCACCCACCCUCUCCAACCUUAAAAAAAAAAAAAAAAAACUCAAAAUGCAGUUUCUCGUGGAAACUUGCUCCUGCUCGGCGUGCUUAUCUUGAAAGGCUGGCUUAGAUGCAGGCAACCAAUAUUUGCAUCCAUGCAGGGGAUUUUAAUCCUCAGUUUGCCAUUUUGAAGCAACAAGUGUCGGAUGUACCUUAUCUGAAUGUACACGAUCUUUGAGGAAUGGCUAUGAUGACUGCCUGGAUGCACCAGAACUGAAGAAUUUGACUGAAACGUAGCUUGGCAAACUUUGGAAGGCUUGCAAUUCUGUGAGCAACCAUUAUGCAGCUGCUUGUGUAGUUCUGUGAAGAUUCUGGUGAAAAGGCCAGAUCUGAGCCACCUCCCUUCUCAACAUCAUCAUCCCUAAACUAUGAAAAGAUUGCUUGCACUUUAUCUUCUGUCACAAUUAUCUAACUGCUCGAGAAAGAUGGACUGUAGACAACCAUCCGCUUGUAGACAUCUUUGACUCUAUGGUAAACAAAUGCGACAUGUUUGUUGGGUAAAUGAAAGAAAUAUGUUGAACAAGAUUGCCAUGUGUCGAAGGAGACUCUUAUUUGCACUUUUGCUGUGCGUCAGAAAUGAUCUGUGGUGCUGUUUGAAGGUGCAUUCUUAUGUCUUUCCAUGUGGUGGGUGUGAUGAUUACCAAGUAUGGAAGAACCACAACCCUUCAACAUUAGACUACUUUGAUCUGCACAGCUUGGCAACUCUCGUACGGCUUGUUCAGCAAGCAUCCAUUUGCGUUUGUAUGUGUAGUUCGCAAAUGCUCAUAAAAAUGGGGUAAAAACGUACAGAACUUAUCUGAACUAUGGACUAUUUUGAGAAACACAGAUUGUAGACAACUAUCUACUCGUAGACACCUUAGACUCUAUGGUUAACAAUUGCGACAUCUUUGUUGGGUAAAUAAAAGAAAUGUGUUGAAUAAGAUGGUCGUGUGUCGCAAGAGGCUCUAAAUUUGUACUUUUGUUCCGCACCAGAAAUGGGUUGGGCUGCUGUUGAAAGAUGCAUUGUUAAUCUACGUGGUGGCUGUGAUGAUUGUCAUGUAUGGAUGCACCAAAUCACUACAAUAUUUGACUGAACUUUGAUCUGCACAGCUCGGCAACCUUUUAAAGGCUUGUUCUGCGAGCACCCAUUUUGCUUUAUAUGUGUAGGUUUGCAAAUGAUCAUAAAAAUUGCAGAUCUGAGCCAGUGUCUAAAUAUCUCCUUUUCGUUGUUUAGACCUAACAAUUUUUUUUUACCCCUAGCCUGUUCUUGUUUAAAGAAUUUAUGUUUGCUAAAUCACCUCUUGCAGCAAGCGGGUUAGGUGAUAUGAGGAAAAUUGUUCCUUUAUGUCAAUAUAUGUUUUUGAAGUUUAGUGGUGAUAAUUACACCACAGUUCGAGGGGUUUGGCAUUUUUUUGUCUUUAAAUAUGGCCUGCAGGAAGUGUAGUUUUUAACAGAGCAGUAGACCUGCCCGGCAGCAACAUUGGAUGGCCUGCUUAUAUGCUGGCAACCAAUUUUUGCUGCUGUGAGCUGGAGUUUAUACCCAGGUUCGUAUUAUUAGUGUUGAGCAUUGCGUUGUAACUUUUGUAGUCGUACCGAGCCGAAGAAUUGCUCUUUUGCAUUCCUCCUCGGUGAGUAAUUGAAAUCUCCACUAAAUGUGAACUUCAAAUCUCACUUCUUUUAAGUUUAUCCUCAAAGCGGUUUUCUGUAAAAAUAAACUGAACAUGGGACUUUGGCAAUGUUGGGGGAUCUCAUGGGAGUGACAUGGUCAAAUACGGUGGGAUUUUUGACGAAACCAUACCCGUAUCCAUGUUUUUUUCAUUUUUUGGUAUGCUAAUUCGGAUACGAUGGUGUCGGAUUCGAUUGGAUUUUAUCCUAACCACUUUCACCUCUACUUGUGGUACAUUUAUUCGGAGCCAAAAUACUCUGAACCCUCCAAUGAGGGAUGGAUGGACAGGUGGAUGGACGGGUACAUCGCUAAAGCGAUACGAAAGAGAGAAACCAGCAUUGGGAACAAGCGGAAAUGCAGGGGUGCUCCUUUCUUCCUGAUGGGUUGUUUCAAACAUUCAUUAUCAACCCCCUGAAACCCUUCCUCGUGCUGGUAGAUGAUGACUGGAUAGAAGUUUGGGGGGUCUAUUUCGAAAAUGGUCUAUAGUUGAGGGGAUCUUCAUCCUAUUUAACCUCUCAAUAUAUCUGAUGGUGAAAAGGUAUUGAUAGUCCCUGUCGUAUCCCGAUGCUAUUCCAAUAUUGUGACUUAGUCCUUGAACCUUUUCCAUAGCACUCCUCUCUCUCAUCUUUCUUAUAUUCUUGGAAUUUCAUCCCUCCCAUCUCUUUGGUUCAUACGUUGCAGGGAAAAUCUCUCAUUAGAACUCUGCAUUGUAAUUUAAUUACUAGCGAGGAUUGGCAGGCGCGUGAUCAGUAAUUGGAGGCAGCUCUGGAUGGUCUGCCCUUCUGCAGGCAACCUAGCUUGCAGCCAUUUAUCCGGUCAUGGCUGGGGUGGAGGAGGUGGUGGUAGUGAUAAGGAUUGGAUGUAUGUGGGUUCAUAUGAUCCUCUUCUCUGAUUAGGGUAUCAUCAUCGUUAUCUUCUUGGCACUCGCUUAUUCUCUUGAUCCAAGUUCCUGUAAAGGAUGUCCUUCAUCAUUUACUUCUAUUUCGCAAUUCCUGUUCCUUGAUGUGUUUCGGCAUUUGUGGAAGUUUCUGUUGAUCAUCUUCAAGAUAUGCGGAAUAACCACUUUUGUGUGGAGUAAAGCUUCUCUCUGCGGCCUUCUGAGAUGGAUACCCAUGAAAUUUUGUGCCUCAGGGUUGAUGAAUGGCUAAAAAUCAAGCUUUUUGAUUUUGAUUGUGCAUUCUUCAUAUGGGUUUACAUCAAGUUGGUCGGUUAGCUCGGUCCAUUGACACCUCUAAUCUGAGCCAUGCUUCAUUAAUUCCUCUAAUCUGAGCCAUGCUUCAUUAAUUCGUGGGAUGGAUGACAUUGCAGCUGGUGGUGCAUGUCUGAUCUUGUGCACCGGGUGCAGGUGUAAUGCCCCGGACUCGUCGCAACCCGCCAAUGACGAGAGCUUGCUGAGGCGUCGACGGCGACAGGGAUGAUGGUGGUUUCCGGCAGCAAUUCCGAGAUAAUUAAUGCAGGGAAAAAGGGGUAAGAGAAGAGAGAUAGAGAUAGAGUUAGAGAUACACAGAGAGAUGAGGAUGGGAAUUAGAAGUAGAUAAGAGAAGAGGAGAAUUGGGGGUAGUAGAGAAGAAGAGGAAGUUUGGGGAGAAGAAAAUAUCAAUUCAUUUCAUUCAUAAUCUGUUUACCGCGCUAAUUUGGUAUAUAUACUAUCUACUAACUCAUAUUGGAAUGUAAAAACAACUAUGUUAAGAGGGCUAUAGUGCAAAAGUGGUAAAUAGAGGUAUGGUCGGUGGGCUGCAAUUCAGCGGGCAAUUGGGCCUCAAUUGGGGUUGUUUGGUCCAAACUGCCUGGUAGUCGGGCAAACAGGUCGCAAUUCGCCCCUUCUCCGCACUAUCCAUCGCCCGGCGGAUCUUGGGUCCGCCUUUUCCCCCGAUCCGGGAUUUGGGGCCGCCCAAUCCACUCGUAAACGGACAACCGGGUCUCAGUUUGCCUUCUCCGCACUACCCACCGCCCCCUCAGCUCCGACGAUGCCCUAGCCCCGUCGCCCUGCCGGAGUUCCACCCGCACAGCCUCUCGCUGGAUCGCACCGCCGAGCUCGCUCCUCUCUACCCUGCUGUUGCCCUUAUUCCUCGCAUAACUAGUAAAGCUACCACUUUUACUACUCCUUUUAACUACUCUACUCCUUUAUUCUUCAGGUUGUUACGGCAGGCCGUAAUUUCUCCUAUCUUCUGCGUUUUGGGGUUUGAAUGCUCAAUUGGAAGGUCUGCAUUCUUGCAGGCAACCUGACAAACUCAUUUGUCUUUAAGGGAGAAGCUAGAUCAUCAAUUCCUAUUCCCUCUACUUUUCGGUGGCUUUGGCCUAUUUCAAGAUGGUCUGUAGUUGAGGGGUCUUCAUACAUGUAUCUCACACGCACUGUGGAAAUGUUUAAUUCAGGUAGCAGCAUGCAGUGCGAGGGUACAACCCAAAGCUUAACAAGAACAGAAAACAGAUGCAACGGCAAUUAAGCACUCAAUUUUACUGAUGGUUGCUAAGCGGCUAAAACAUCAAUGUCAUCUGUUACACUACAUAUAAUGAAAACAUGGAGUUUGUGGGGCAUUCAGGGUGAGGGUUGAUUUAA
This is a long non-coding RNA of Ananas comosus (pineapple), 4341 nucleotides long. RefSeq lists it as uncharacterized. The transcript has 3 exons. NCBI's taxonomy places the organism in Eukaryota, Viridiplantae, Streptophyta, Magnoliopsida, Poales, Bromeliaceae. The record is from RefSeq and is a predicted model, not a curated record.